GACGAACGCUGGCGGCGUGCUUAACACAUGCAAGUCGAGCGGUAAGGCCUUUCGGGGUACACGAGUGGCGAACGGGUGAGUAACACGUGGUUGAUCUGCCCUGCACUUCGGGAUAAGUCCGGGAAACUGGGUCUAAUACCGGAUUGGACUGCGCGGUGCAUGCCGUGUGGUGGAAAGAUUUAUCGGUGCAGGAUGGGCCCGCGGCCUAUCAGCUUGUUGGUGGGGUAAUAGCCUACCAAGGCGACGACGGGUAGCCGGCCUGAGAGGGCGACCGGCCACACUGGGACUGAGACACGGCCCAGACUACUACGGGAGGCAGCAGGGGGGAAUAUUGCACAAUGGGCGCAAGCCUGAUGCAGCGACGCCGCGUGAGGGAUGACGGCCUUCGGGUUGUAAACCUCUUGCAGCAGGGACGAAGCGUGAGUGACGGUACCUGCAGAAGAAGCACCGGCCAACUACGUG
This 462-nucleotide ribosomal RNA is filed under the name uncultured bacterium. RNAcentral's name for it is "partial 16S ribosomal RNA". It matches the Rfam family "Bacterial small subunit ribosomal RNA", at positions 28 to 507 of the family's 1533-position model. The record is from RNAcentral.